This 442-nucleotide ribosomal RNA is filed under the name uncultured bacterium. Its description in RNAcentral is "partial 16S ribosomal RNA". It matches the Rfam family "Bacterial small subunit ribosomal RNA", at positions 28 to 507 of the family's 1533-position model. The record is from RNAcentral.
GAUGAACGCUGGCGGCGUGCCUUAUACAUGCAAGUCGAGUGGGUUUAGACCCACGGCACACGGGUGAGUAACCCGUAGGUACUUUCCUUGUCACAGGAAUAACCCUCCGAAAGGAGGGCUAAUACCUGAUGUGAUCGCAAGAUUAAAGGGUAUCCGCAAGGAUUACCGGACAAGAAGAGGCCUGCGGCCUAUCAGCUAGUUGGCGGGGUAAAUGCCCACCACGGCUAUGACGGGUAGCUGGUCUUAUGAGGAUGAUCAGUCACAUGGGCACUGAGACACGGGCCCAACUCCUACGGGAGGCAGCAGUAGGGAAUUUUGCGCAAUGGGCGAAAGCCUGACGCAGCGACGCCGCGUGCGGGAGGAAGGCCUUCGGGUCGUAAACCGCUUUUAUAAGGGACGAACUUUGACGGUACCUUAUGAAUAAGAGGUUGCUAACUCUGUG